RNAcentral lists this ribosomal RNA (1097 nucleotides) under Zygopleurage zygospora. Its description in RNAcentral is "eukaryotic LSU rRNA". It matches the Rfam family "Eukaryotic large subunit ribosomal RNA", at positions 29 to 1159 of the family's 3401-position model. The record is from RNAcentral. Lineage: Eukaryota; Fungi; Ascomycota; Sordariomycetes; Sordariales; Schizotheciaceae.
UGAACUUAAGCAUAUCAAUAAGCGGAGGAAAAGAAACCAACCGGGAUUGCCCUAGUAACGGCGAGUGAAGCGGCAACAGCUCAAAUUUGAAAUCUGGCUCCGGCCCGAGUUGUAAUUUGCAGAGGAAGCUUCUGGCGAAACACCUUCUAAGUCCCCUGGAACGGGGCGCCACAGUGGGUGAGAGCCCCAUGUGAUGGAUGUUGAACCUGUGUGAAGCUCCUUCGACGAGUCGAGUAGUUUGGGAAUGCUGCUCAAAAUGGGAGGUAAAUUCCUUCUAAAGCUAAAUAUUGGCCAGAGACCGAUAGCGCACAAGUAGAGUGAUCGAAAGAUGAAAAGCACUUUGAAAAGAGGGUUAAACAGCACGUGAAAUUGUUGAAAGGGAAGCGCUUGUGACCAGACUUGCGCUGGGCUGAUCAUCCGGUGUUCUCACCGGUGCACUCGGCCCAGCUCAGGCCAGCAUCGGUUUCGGCGGGGGGAUAAAGGCGCCAGGAACGUAGCUCCCCCGGGAGUGUUAUAGCCUGGCGUGCAAUGCCCCCGCUGGGACCGAGGUUCGCGCAUCUGCAAGGAUGCUGGCGUAAUGGUCAUCAGCGACCCGUCUUGAAACACGGACCAAGGAGUCAAGGUUUUGCGCGAGUGUUUGGGUGUCAAACCCGCACGCGUAAUGAAAGUGAACGUAGGUGAGAGCUUCGGCGCAUCAUCGACCGAUCCUGAUGUAUUCGGAUGGAUUUGAGUAGGAGCGUUAAGCCUUGGACCCGAAAGAUGGUGAACUAUGCUUGGAUAGGGUGAAGCCAGAGGAAACUCUGGUGGAGGCUCGCAGCGGUUCUGACGUGCAAAUCGAUCGUCAAAUCUGAGCAUGGGGGCGAAAGACUAAUCGAACCAUCUAGUAGCUGGUUACCGCCGAAGUUUCCCUCAGGAUAGCAGUGUUGUUCUUCAGUUUUAUGAGGUAAAGCGAAUGAUUAGGGACUCGGGGGCGAUUUAUAGCCUUCAUCCAUUCUCAAACUUUAAAUAUGUAAGAAGCUCUUGUUACUUAGUUGAACGUGAGCAUUCGAAUGUACCAACACUAGUGGGCCAUUUUUGGUAAGCAGAACUGGCGAUGC